AUGUCCUGCACUGGAGGAACUGUCCCCAUCACCCCCAUGGAGGGGCUUUCUGGGAGGUCAUGCUCCCAAGGGCACCUCUGCCCUGUAGGAUUGACUGAAGCUGCUCCGUGUCCUCCUGGCUUCUAUGCCUCUGGCACCCACCCCACAAAGUGUCACAUCUGCCCCAGCGGCCACUACUGUGCUCCCGGGCUGAGGCCACAGCUGUGUCCAAGAGGUUUCUACUGCCCUGAAGGAACAGAGCUCAGCUGGCAGCCCUGCCCCGCGGGCACCUACGGUCCUGUGCCUGGGCUGAGCAGCCUGCAGGCGUGUCGAGCCUGUGAUGGCGGCAGGUUUUGCCCCAGGGCCAACGCCACAGAGGCCGGCGGGCAGUGCUGGGAGGGCUUCUUCUGCUCCAGAGGGUCCACCCGGCCCAACCCAGAGGCCGGCACUGAAGAGAGGGCCGGCCCUUGUCCUCCGGGACACUACUGCCCUAGGGGCUCAGCCAUGCCCCAGCCCUGCCCACCUGGCACUUUUAGCCCACACAGCAAGCUCAGCUCAGAGGUAGGAGACCCUGGCCCAGGGAAAAGUCCGGGUGUGAAGAGGGCCUGUUUGGUCUAGCCUCUAAGAUCCAAGGUUGUUGCACAGCCUCACAGGCGCAUCUCUUGCAGGCUGCCUGCUCCCCUUGCCCACCUGGCUACUACUGCAGCUCUCCUGGCCUCGCCAGCCCUUCUGGGCCCUGCAGCACAGGCUUCUUCUGCCUCACUGGGGCCCUCGUCCCUAAUGGCUCCCUGGGAGACCAGACCAGUGGCCCUUGCCCUGCAGGUACCCCCAGGGCUGGCCUGAGGAGGAACCAAGGAAAGCGGGGAAGGAGCAAGCUCCAAGGUGGCCCCCAGUCAGGGCUGAGGGUGCCCCAGACCCUCCAGGAUCUGGGUUUAGGAUGGAGCUGCUCUGAGCACUAGGGAGUGGGCCUGCCUUGGCCCUGACUGUCGGGUCUGCUUCCCUUCCAGGACACUUCUGCCCCCUGGGCACUGCAGCCCCCAGGCCCUGCCCAGCAGGCACCCACAAUGGCCAGGCUGCCCAGGACCAUUGCAAGCCUUGUCCUGAGGGGUAAGUGCACCAGGUAUCCCCCUCCCAAAUCCCAGGGCAGCUGGCAGGCCCCUUUCAACAUCACAGAACUUCCACUUUUUCUUCUCCCCUUAUUUGUCUCCUGGUAUCACCAGGUCAUGCCUCAUUUCAAACCUGGGCCUCUCUGGCUGUAAUUUAAGUCACUUAAGGUCCACACAAAGCCCUCCCGCAUGCCCCGUGCGCUGCUGAGAGCUGUGUCCCCAUGCAGGGAUGUCCUCUGCAGCCACGGAAGGAAGGCAAGCCCAGGCACCAUCUCCUCCCUACACUGAGUCACAGGCCACACAGGUCUCUGACCCCUGACUUGUCCCUGUAGCUUCUUCUGCCCGGCCAACACCUCCUCUGUGCUGGGGAACCAGUGUCCUGCCGGCCACUACUGUCCUGCCUCCACCGCCUUUGCUUUCCAGUUCCCCUGCCCCCGGGGCACCUAUAGGCCACAGAGACGGGGCACCCAGUGGUCAGACUGCAGCCCUUGUGAGCCAGGUACGGGGACAGG
This is a long non-coding RNA of Bos indicus x Bos taurus (hybrid cattle), 1597 nucleotides long. Lineage: Eukaryota; Metazoa; Chordata; Mammalia; Artiodactyla; Bovidae. The record is from Ensembl.